AGCAGCCGCGGUAAUUCCAGCUCCAAUAGCGUAUAUUAAAGUUGUUGCAGUUAAAAAGCUCGUAGUUGAAUUUUGGGGUCAGUAGGUUGGUCGUGCCACUGGUAUGUACUGGCCUCACUGAUUCCUCCUUCCUGAUGAACCGUAAUGCCAUUAAUUUGGUGUUGCGAGGAAUCUGGACUGUUACUUUAGAAAAAAUUAGAGUGUUUAAAGCAGGCUAACGCUUGAAUACAUUAGCAUGGAAUAAUGAAAUAGGACGGUUUGAUCCUAUUUUGUUGGUUUCUAGGAUUGACGUAAUGAUUAAUAGGGAUAGUUGGGGGCAUUAGUAUUCAAUUGUCAGAGGUGAAAUUCUUGGAUUUAUUGAAGACUAACUACUGCGAAAGCAUUUGCCAAGGAUGUUUUCAUUAAUCAAGAACGAAAGUUAGGGGAUCGAAGACGAUCAGAUACCGUCGUAGUCUUAACCAUAAACUAUGCCGACUAGGGAUCGGAUGAUGUUAAUUUUUUAAUUAGUACUCAUUCGGUC
Molecule: ribosomal RNA, 520 nt
Filed under: uncultured Glomus
Lineage: Eukaryota; Fungi; Glomeromycota; Glomeromycetes; Glomerales; Glomeraceae
Description: SSU rRNA
Rfam family: Eukaryotic small subunit ribosomal RNA
Source: RNAcentral